AGUCCGUGGUGCGAGCAACAUCGGAGCAAGUCUUUUGUACAUCUCCCAAGCAUCAUACAUGCUUUCGUCAUCGAACUGCACAAAAGAAGAUAUAUCAUUUCUCAAUCU
RNAcentral lists this small nucleolar RNA (108 nucleotides) under Ricinus communis (castor bean). RNAcentral's name for it is "Plant small nucleolar RNA R71". It matches the Rfam family "Plant small nucleolar RNA R71". From Rfam's summary of the family: R71 is a member of the C/D box family of snoRNAs containing the C (UGAUGA) and D (CUGA) box motifs. Multiple nearly identical copies of this snoRNA have been identified in Arabidopsis, and it is thought to function as a 2'-O-ribose methylation guide for 18S ribosomal RNA. Lineage: Eukaryota; Viridiplantae; Streptophyta; Magnoliopsida; Malpighiales; Euphorbiaceae. The record is from Rfam by way of RNAcentral.